This is a long non-coding RNA of Oncorhynchus keta (chum salmon), 707 nucleotides long. RefSeq lists it as uncharacterized. The transcript has 2 exons. The record is from RefSeq and is a predicted model, not a curated record. NCBI's taxonomy places the organism in Eukaryota, Metazoa, Chordata, Actinopteri, Salmoniformes, Salmonidae.
CCUUGGGUUGUACCGUGGCGGAGAUCUUUGUGGGCUAUACUCGGCCUUGUCUCAGGAUGGACCUGAGCCCUAGGACCAUGCCCCAGGACUACCAGACAUGAGGACUCCUUGCUGUCCCCAGUCCACCUGGCCAUGCUCCUGCUCCAGUUUCAACUGUUCUGCCUUACUAUUAUUCAACCAUGCUAGUCAUUUAUGAACAUUUGAACAUCUUGGCCACGUUCUGUUAUAAUCUCCACCCGGCACAGCCAAAGAGGACUGGCCACCCCACAUAUGCUCUCUCUAAUUCUCUCUUUCUUUCUCUCUCUCUCGGAGGACCUGAGCCCUAGGACAGUGCCCCAGGACUACCUGACAUGAUGGCUCCUUGCUGUCCCCAUUCCACCUGACUGCUGCUGCUCCAGUUUCAACUGUUCUGCCUUAUUAUUAUUCGACCAUGCUGGUCAUUUAUGAACAUUUGAACAUCUUGGUCAUGUUCUGUUAUAAUCUCUACCCGGCACAGCCAGAAGAGGACUGGCCACCCCACAUAGCCCGGUUCCUCUCUAGGUUUCUUCCUAGGUUUUGGCCUUUCUAGGGAGUUUUUCCUAGCCACCGUGCUUUUACACCUGCAUUGUUUGCUGUUUGGGGUUUUAGGCUGGGUUUCUGUACAGCACUUUGAGAUAUCAGCUGAUGUACGAAGGGCUAUAUAAAUAAAUUUGAUUUGAUUUGAUUUG